RNAcentral lists this ribosomal RNA (497 nucleotides) under uncultured bacterium. RNAcentral describes it as "partial 16S ribosomal RNA". It matches the Rfam family "Bacterial small subunit ribosomal RNA", at positions 28 to 507 of the family's 1533-position model. The record is from RNAcentral.
GAUGAACGCUGGCGGCGUGCCUAAUACAUGCAAGUCGAACGAAGGGACCAAACGCUUGAGUCGCUGUUGCUAGCGACGGACGGGUGAGUAACACGUGGAUAACCUAUCUCUCUGACAGAGAUAACUUCAAGAAGCCGGAGCUCAUACCGCAUCAUAUCUUGAACCGCGUGGUUCAAGAGUGGCAGAAGGUAUUGCUGUCACUUAUAGAUGGGGCCGCGCUGCAUUAGGUAGUUGGUAAGGUAAAGGACUACCAAGGCAACGAUGCAUAGCCGAAGUGAGAGGGUGAUCGCCCACACUGGAACGGGGACGCGGUCCCGACUCCUGCGGGAGGCAGCAGUAUGGAAUCUUCCGCAAUGGGCGAGAGCCUGACGGAGCAACGGCGCGUGAGUGAUGACGGUCUUCGGAUCGUAAAACUCUGUUAUUAGGGAAGAACAUAUGUGUAAGUAACUGUGCACAUCUUGACGGUACCUAAUCAGAAAGCCACGGCUAACUACGUG